UACGUAGGGUGCAAGCGUUAAUCGGAAUUACUGGGCGUAAAGCGUGCGCAGGCGGUUAUGUAAGACAGACGUGAAAUCCCCGGGCUCAACCUGGGAACUGCAUUUGUGACUGCAUAGCUAGAGUACGGUAGAGGGGGAUGGAAUUCCGCGUGUAGCAGUGAAAUGCGUAGAUAUGCGGAGGAACACCGAUGGCGAAGGCAAUCCCCUGGACCUGUACUGACGCUCAUGCACGAAAGGCGUGGGGAGCAAACGAGG
RNAcentral lists this ribosomal RNA (255 nucleotides) under uncultured bacterium. Its description in RNAcentral is "partial 16S ribosomal RNA". It matches the Rfam family "Bacterial small subunit ribosomal RNA", at positions 524 to 777 of the family's 1533-position model. The record is from RNAcentral.